UACGUAGGGUGCAAGCGUUAUCCGGAAUUAUUGGGCGUAAAGAGCUCGUAGGCGGUUUGUCGCGUCUGCCGUGAAAGUCCUGGGCUUAACCUGGGGACUGCAUUUGAUACUGGAUUGCUUGAAUGCAGGAGAGGAUAGCGGAAUUCCCAGUGUAGAGGUGAAAUUCGUAGAUAUUGGGAAGAACACCGGUGGCGAAGGCGGCUAUCUGGACUGUGAUUGACGCUGAGGCGCGAAAGCGUGGGGAGCAAACAGG
RNAcentral lists this ribosomal RNA (253 nucleotides) under uncultured bacterium. RNAcentral's name for it is "partial 16S ribosomal RNA". It matches the Rfam family "Bacterial small subunit ribosomal RNA", at positions 524 to 776 of the family's 1533-position model. The record is from RNAcentral.